This is a non-coding RNA of Schistosoma mattheei, 45 nucleotides long. The record is from Rfam. NCBI's taxonomy places the organism in Eukaryota, Metazoa, Platyhelminthes, Trematoda, Strigeidida, Schistosomatidae.
AUCCAGUUGACGAGUCUCAAAUAGGACGAGAUACGUGUCCUAGAU